GGAAGGUCAACAGAGGUGGCAUCCUUGCAAAAGCAAAUAAGGAUGAGCAUUGUGCUUCCUGACUGAUAGGUAUCCAAAGAUGGAAUAACCGAUUCAGAGGUUGUGGAUAAUUUCAAGGCCUAUCAAACUUCUUGCAAAAUUUUUUCCAUCAGCUGCAAAGACGUGGAGAACACUAGAAGAAAGACAACGAUUUGAGAGGCCCUGAACUGUGACUUUGAGUUUUGGUGCUUCACGUCACCUCCUAUUUUGGUAUCAACUGCAAAUAUCAAUGACGUGGGAAUUCCUAUUCUGGAGUACAAUUGAAGAUGCGAAAUGAGAAGUGUGUCACCAGAUGACCUUCUGAGACCCCCAAAUGGAUCACCCAGAGAGGUGCAAGCACUGUACCAGUUUCCUGUGCACGUUUCCAGGCAUUCUGUGAAUAUGUAAGCAAAUAUAGAUAUAAUUUCCCGCUUUGUCCACAAAUUGCAGAAUAUUAGACACAUCACCAAAAAUAUAGUGUGAAAUUUGUUCUAUAUCAGCACAUAUAAAGUUAUCUCAUUCCUUUCCAUAGCUGUGUAAUGUUCCAUUCCUUUACAUAGAUGCACCUUAAUAUAACCACUUCCCUAAUGAUAGGUAGAUAGGUUGUUACCAAUCUUUUGAUACCAUAGACAAUCUGUGAAUAUACAUCUUUGCUGUACCAAACAUCCAUGAAUAUACAUCUUUGCACAUAUGUACAAAAAUAUCUGAAGGUUAAAUUCUUAGAAGUGGAAUGCUGGGUCAAGGCAAGAAGUAGAUGCACAUUUUAUUCUGAUAUUGCCAAAUUCCCUUCCAAAGAAAAUGUACCUGCCCUUACCAAGAGUGCUGGGGGGGAGGGGGGUUUCUCUAUUUUCUCGCAGCCUUACUAAAUCUUUCUUAUUAAACUUAAAAAAAAAUCUUAAGCUAAUAGAUGAAAAAUGAUACUGGGUUGUUUCAUUUGAGGUUGACCAUCUGUUACGUGGCUGUAAGCCCUUUGUAUUUCUAGUUCUGUGAAUUUCCCACUCAUGAUUUUGCUCAUUUUUCUAUUAGUUUAUUGACUCUUUUUUUAUUGAUUUAGAAUGCCUCUAUGUAUUAAGGAAAUUAGCUCUCUGCCAUUUAUUAUGCAGGUAUUUUUCUCCGGUCUGGAGUUUUUCUGCUUUACUUU
Choloepus didactylus (southern two-toed sloth) is the source of this 1159-nucleotide long non-coding RNA. RefSeq lists it as uncharacterized. The record is from RefSeq and is a predicted model, not a curated record. The transcript has 5 exons. Lineage: Eukaryota; Metazoa; Chordata; Mammalia; Pilosa; Megalonychidae.